RNAcentral lists this ribosomal RNA (467 nucleotides) under uncultured bacterium. RNAcentral describes it as "bacterial SSU rRNA". It matches the Rfam family "Bacterial small subunit ribosomal RNA", at positions 338 to 796 of the family's 1533-position model. The record is from RNAcentral.
CCUACGGGAGGCAGCAGUGGGGAAUUUUGCGCAAUGGGCGAAAGCCUGACGCAGCAACGCCGCGUGACCGAUGAAGCUCUGAGGAGUGUAAAAGUCUGUCCCAGGGGGAGAAAGACACCGAUACGAAUAAUAUCGGCGGUUGACGGUACCCUGGAAGAAAGCCCCGGCUAACUUCGUGCCAGCAGCCGCGGUAAUACGAGGGGGGCUAGCGUUGUCCGGAAUUAUUGGGUGUAAAGGGCUCGUAGGCGGAUCGAUCAGUCGGAACUUAAAUCCCACGGCUCAACCGUGGAGCUGGUUUCGAUACUGUCGGUCUUGAGUUCGGUAGAGGAAGGCGGAAUUCCUGGUGUAGCGGUGAAAUGCGUAGAUAUCAGGAGGAACACCGAAGGCGAAGGCAGCCUUCUGGGCCGAAACUGACGCUAAGGAGCGAAAGCGUGGGUAGCGAACAGGAUUAGAUACCCCGGUAGUCC